This 410-nucleotide ribosomal RNA is filed under the name uncultured bacterium. Its description in RNAcentral is "bacterial SSU rRNA". It matches the Rfam family "Bacterial small subunit ribosomal RNA", at positions 32 to 422 of the family's 1533-position model. The record is from RNAcentral.
AAUCAACGCUGGCGGCGUGCCUCAGACAUGCAAGUCGAACGAGAAAGUUCCCUUCGGGGGAUGAGUAAAGUGGCGCACGGGUGAGUAACACGUAGGUAAUCUACCUUCGGGUGGGGAAUAACCCAGGGAAACUUGGGCUAACACCGCAUAAUGCAGCGGCACCACAUGGUGACAGUUGUUAAAGCGGGGGAUUUUCGAACCUCGCGCCUGAAGAGGAGCCUGCGGCAGAUUAGCAGUUGGUAGGGUAACGGCUUACCAAGGCGACGAUCUGUAGCCGGCCUGAGAGGGCGGUCGGCCACACUGACACUGACAUACGGGUCAGACUCCUACGGGAGGCAGCAGUCGGGAAUUUUGGGCAAUGGGCGAAAGCCUGACCCAGCAACGCCGCGUGAAGGAUGAAAUCCUUCGGG